UACGUAGGGUGCGAGCGUUGUCCGGAUUUAUUGGGCGUAAAGAGCUCGUAGGCGGUUUGUCGCGUCGGCCGUGAAAUCUCCACGCUUAACGUGGAGCGUGCGGUCGAUACGGGCAGACUUGAGUUCGGUAGGGGAGACUGGAAUUCCUGGUAUAGCGGUGAAAUGCGCAGAUAUCAGGAGGAACACCAGCGGCGAAGGCGGCGCUCUGGGCCGGAACUGACGCUGAGGAGCGAAAGCGUGGGUAGCAAACAGG
This 253-nucleotide ribosomal RNA is filed under the name uncultured bacterium. Its description in RNAcentral is "partial 16S ribosomal RNA". It matches the Rfam family "Bacterial small subunit ribosomal RNA", at positions 524 to 776 of the family's 1533-position model. The record is from RNAcentral.